Molecule: ribosomal RNA, 550 nt
Filed under: uncultured bacterium
Lineage: Bacteria
Description: bacterial SSU rRNA
Rfam family: Bacterial small subunit ribosomal RNA
Source: RNAcentral
UGGGGAAUUGUUCGCAAUGGGCGCAAGCCUGACGACGCAACGCCGCGUGGAGGAUGAAGAUUUUCGGAUCGUAAACUCCUGUCGAAUGGGACGAAUGGCUCGGCCGUGAACAACGGCCGGGAAUGACGGUACCGUGAGAGGAAGCCCCGGCUAACUCCGUGCCAGCAGCCGCGGUAAUACGGGGGGGCGAGCGUUGUUCGGAAUUACUGGGCGUAAAGGGCUCGUAGGUGGCCACCUAAGUCCGACGUGAAAUCCCUCGGCUCAACCGGGGAACUGCGUCGGAUACUGGGUGGCUUGAAUCCGGGAGAGGGACGUGGAAUUCCAGGUGUAGCGGUGAAAUGCGUAGAUAUCUGGAGGAACACCGGUGGCGAAGGCGGCGUCCUGGACCGGUAUUGACACUGAGGAGCGAAAGCCAGGGGAGCAAACGGGAUUAGAUACCCCGGUAGUCCUGGCCCUAAACGAUGAGUGCUUGGUGUGGCGGGUAUCGAUCCCCGCCGUGCCGGAGCUAACGCGUUAAGCACUCCGCCUGGGGAGUACGGCCGCAAGGCUA